Schistocerca nitens (vagrant locust) is the source of this 508-nucleotide long non-coding RNA. RefSeq lists it as uncharacterized. Lineage: Eukaryota; Metazoa; Arthropoda; Insecta; Orthoptera; Acrididae. The transcript has 2 exons. The record is from RefSeq and is a predicted model, not a curated record.
UAUGCGAAAACCAUAAUAUUCCUCUCUCGAUAUAUGACACUCUCUAGAUCGAUUCACACUCGACGUCAACGGAAAGGAAGGGGCGUCACAGUCAACUCAAGUGAUGGAGUUAUGGGCCAGUUGUACAAUCUCGGGUUCAAUCUAGGGUUAACCUGGAGUACGCGUUGAGACGUUUUACUCUCGGAAAAGCGUUCCCGCCCAGUUAAAGUUGGCAACAACUUAAGGGUCCGAAUGGAAAUGCCUUUACGAUCGCUCCCAUCCAUGCUCCCAUCAGCCACAGUGCCGACUGCCGAGUGUCAACUUUGUUUGCGCAAUAAAAAUACCUAUUCUCAGAUAUGGAAGAAUUAACGGAGUUGCAGAUGGUGGUGCUUGAAAAGUACCAUUACAAGAACAAAAGAAGAGAGGAAGAACAGUUUUCUUUCUUUAUUUUUUUAAAAAAAGUUCAAAAUUAGGAUCAGAAAAUACAAAUCAAACAAAUGAUUUCAGAAUAAAACUAUCUUAUUCCAUA